UGGUUGGAUGAGAAGCAAAUUUUGUUUUUACUUAUUCAAUUUGCGACUAUAUCCAGGCCAUU
This 62-nucleotide microRNA precursor is filed under the name Strongyloides ratti. Its description in RNAcentral is "microRNA str-mir-7880o precursor". The record is from miRBase by way of RNAcentral. Lineage: Eukaryota; Metazoa; Nematoda; Chromadorea; Rhabditida; Strongyloididae.